Molecule: ribosomal RNA, 788 nt
Filed under: uncultured bacterium
Lineage: Bacteria
Description: bacterial SSU rRNA
Rfam family: Bacterial small subunit ribosomal RNA
Source: RNAcentral
CCANGUGUAGCGGUGAAAUGCGUAGAUAUAUGGAGGAACACCGGUGGCGAAAGCGGCUCUNUGGUCUGUAACUGACGCUGAGGCUCGAAAGCGUGGGGAGCGAACAGGAUUAGAUACCCUGGUAGUCCACGCCGUAAACGAUGAGUGCUAGGUGUUAGGCCCUUUCCGGGGCUUAGUGCCGCAGCUAACGCAUUAAGCACUCCGCCUGGGGAGUACGACCGCAAGGUUGAAACUCAAAGGAAUUGACGGGGGCCCGCACAAGCGGUGGAGCAUGUGGUUUAAUUCGAAGCAACGCGAAGAACCUUACCAGGUCUUGACUUCCCGAUGCCCGCUCUAGAGAUAGAGUUUUACUUCGGUACAUCGGUGACAGGUGGUGCAUGGUUGUCGUCAGCUCGUGUCGUGAGAUGUUGGGUUAAGUCCCGCAACGAGCGCAACCCUUAUUGUUAGUUGCCAUCAUUCAGUUGGGCACUCUAGCGAGACUGCCGGUAAUAAACCGGAGGAAGGUGGGGAUGACGUCAAAUCAUCAUGCCCCUUAUGACCUGGGCUACACACGUGCUACAAUGGCUGGUACAACGAGUCGCAAGUCGGUGACGGCAAGCUAAUCUCUUAAAGCCAGUCUCAGUUCGGAUUGUAGGCUGCAACUCGCCUACAUGAAGUCGGAAUCGCUAGUAAUCGCGGAUCAGCACGCCGCGGUGAAUACGUUCCCGGGCCUUGUACACACCGCCCGUCACACCACGAGAGUUUGUAACACCCGAAGUCGGUGAGGUAACCUUUUAGGAGCCANCCGC